GGAGAUAGCUGUAGUUCAGUGGCAGAGCAUAUGCUUGGCAUGCAGAAAGUCCUGGGUUCAAUCCCCAGCAUUUCCA
Molecule: transfer RNA, 76 nt
Filed under: Sphaerodactylus townsendi
Lineage: Eukaryota; Metazoa; Chordata; Lepidosauria; Squamata; Sphaerodactylidae
Description: tRNA-Ala
Rfam family: tRNA (bases 10-70)
About the family: Transfer RNA (tRNA) molecules are approximately 80 nucleotides in length.
Source: RNAcentral